GCCAACGUAGCUUAAGUAAAGCAUAACACUGAAGAUGUUAAGAUAGGCCCUAGAAAGCCUCGUAAGCA
RNAcentral lists this transfer RNA (68 nucleotides) under Ctenogobius saepepallens (dash goby). RNAcentral's name for it is "tRNA-Phe". It matches the Rfam family "tRNA". From Rfam's summary of the family: Transfer RNA (tRNA) molecules are approximately 80 nucleotides in length. The record is from RNAcentral. Lineage: Eukaryota; Metazoa; Chordata; Actinopteri; Gobiiformes; Gobiidae.